AGCAAGGCCGCUGACAGCGCAGCGCCCCACCCGGGCGAAGGCGCGGGGCUCAACGGAGAGGGGACGGGGCGUGGUGAGACUGUAAUGGGCAAUGAACAUGAACUAUUCAGGGGAAGAUUGUUAAAUGAAAGAAUCUCACUGGGCGGGGAGCUAAGCAUGACACCUGGCCACCUGCCUGUGCCUGUCCUGCCGAGAAGAGAGAAGAGGCCUUGAAAGCAGCCAGAGGGGGUGCACACCAGCCUGGGCAGGGGGCAGUAAGCGGGAGCAGCCCCGACCCGAGACCAGCAGCCCCUCUCUUCACCUCCAAGCCGGAGCGUGGCCUCAUCCCUCCCAGGUGACUCUCUUCCCAGAAAUGGUGCUGUCUCAAGAAGCCCCCUCUCUCCAAGCAUCUGCCAGGCCGUUUGAGCUGCCAGGAGUCUUUGUCCUGCCCCACCAGCUCUGUCUCAUCUAGAUGGGGCCUUCUGUCCAGUGCUACUGAACAGAAUGUUCUGCAUGCCUGGCCAGUGCAGAGACCUCCUUGCACCCCUGCUCCAAGGCUGGCUCUGCCACUGACAGAUAGACUGACAUUUGCACUGUUCUGAGCCCCUGGGGGUGCAGUAUGCAGAGCUAGGCCAUCUCUGUCGUCCUACAAGAACCAGGCAGCCCUGAGCAAGGCUUUUAACAUGCAAGGUGUACUCCACUAGUCUUAAGAUAUCUUGAGCCACUGUCUUGCUGCUCCCAACUCCCAAGCCACGCUGACU
Molecule: long non-coding RNA, 740 nt
Filed under: Homo sapiens (human)
Lineage: Eukaryota; Metazoa; Chordata; Mammalia; Primates; Hominidae
Description: HTT antisense RNA (HTT-AS)
Source: RNAcentral